This 492-nucleotide ribosomal RNA is filed under the name uncultured bacterium. RNAcentral's name for it is "partial 16S ribosomal RNA". It matches the Rfam family "Bacterial small subunit ribosomal RNA", at positions 29 to 507 of the family's 1533-position model. The record is from RNAcentral.
AGUGAACGCUGGCGGUAGGCCUAACACAUGCAAGUCGAACGGCAGCACUGUAAGAGCUUGCUCUUACGGGUGGCGAGUGGCGGACGGGUGAGGAAUACAUCGGAAUCUACUUUUUCGUGGGGGAUAACGUAGGGAAACUUACGCUAAUACCGCAUACGACCUACGGGUGAAAGCAGGGGAUCUUCGGACCUUGCGCGAUUGAAUGAGCCGAUGUCGGAUUAGCUAGUUGGCGGGGUAAAGGCCCACCAAGGCGACGAUCCGUAGCUGGUCUGAGAGGAUGAUCAGCCACACUGGAACUGAGACACGGUCCAGACUCCUACGGGAGGCAGCAGUGGGGAAUAUUGGACAAUGGGCGCAAGCCUGAUCCAGCCAUACCGCGUGGGUGAAGAAGGCCUUCGGGUUGUAAAGCCCUUUUGUUGGGAAAGAAAAGCAGCAGGUUAAUACCCCGCUGUCCUGACGGUACCCAAAGAAUAAGCACCGGCUAACUUCGUG